Molecule: non-coding RNA, 764 nt
Organism: Dicentrarchus labrax (European seabass)
Lineage: Eukaryota; Metazoa; Chordata; Actinopteri; Moronidae
Source: the annotation of a RefSeq genome assembly
UCUGGGAGAGUUUAUAGUCCUGAGAGUUGAACACUGGAUGACUGACAGCUGUCCUUCAUGACAACAGAAGACACAGAAAUCCUCCUCAUCAAAAACAUGACUUUGAUCUCCGUCCUCAUCUGGACUCUCCUCUGCUGCUGCUUCACAGAGUCCAGAGGCCAGGUCACAGUGACUCAGUCUGGAGCAGUGAGCUCUGCUCUGGGACGCUCCGUCACCAUCACAUGCAGGACCAGUCAGAACGUUUAUAAUAAUGACUUUUUAGCCUGGUACCAACAGAAAGAUGGAGAAACUCCUAAACUGCUUAUCUAUAGAGCAACUUCUCGACAAUCAGGGACUCCAGGUCGUUUUACAGGCAGUGGAUCAAACUCUGACUUCACUCUGACCAUCAGUGGAGUCCAGACUGAAGAUGCAGCAGUUUACUACUGUCAGAGUUAUCAUAGCAUCAACAGUCAGUGGUUGUUCACACAGUGAAAAAGCGUCGUACAAAAACCUCCCUCAGUCAGACUGAACAGAAACUGAACUGACUGCUGCAGCUGGAAGCUACUGCAGAGACUGAUACACUUCACUGAGGACACACACACACACACACACACACACAAAAUGGAAUUAUCAUUAAAAAAAGAAAUUACAAAUAAUUUUUCGUCCUACACAAACAGUUUCCUUAUAAAGAACUAAUGGACAGUUAAAGACCACAUUAGGAUAUGAUCACAUUUUUGUCAUAACUAACAAACACAUUUUACUCAUUAAAGAGACAAUGAACCAGA